UGGGGUGAAGUAUUUAGGUACAUCUUAGUUACAUUAAGAAAGAUCGCUAGUGUGCGACGCCCUGA
RNAcentral lists this transfer RNA (65 nucleotides) under Platevindex sp. CL-2014. RNAcentral's name for it is "tRNA-Val". Lineage: Eukaryota; Metazoa; Mollusca; Gastropoda; Systellommatophora; Onchidiidae. The record is from RNAcentral.